CUGAUGGCGACCGGCGCACGGGUGCGUAACGCGUAUGCAACCUACCUGUAACAGGGGGAUAACACUGAGAAAUCGGUACUAAUACCGCAUAACACUAUGAGAGGCAUCUCUUGUGGUUGAAAGUUUCGGCGGUUACAGAUGGGCAUGCGUUGUAUUAGCUGGUUGGUAAGGUAACGGCUUACCAAGGCGACGAUACAUAGGGGGACUGAGAGGUUAACCCCCCACCAUUGGUACUGAGACACGGACCAAACUCCUACGGGAGGCAGCAG
RNAcentral lists this ribosomal RNA (269 nucleotides) under uncultured bacterium. Its description in RNAcentral is "partial 16S ribosomal RNA". It matches the Rfam family "Bacterial small subunit ribosomal RNA", at positions 85 to 354 of the family's 1533-position model. The record is from RNAcentral.